AUUUAUCGCCGAAGGAGCGGCCCGCGUUGGAUUAGCUAGUUGGUGGGGUAAAAGCCUACCAAGGCAACGAUCCAUAGCUGGUUUGAGAGAACGACCAGCCACACUGGGACUGAGACACGGCCCAGACUCCUACGGGAGGCAGCAGUGGGGAAUCUUGGACAAUGGGGGAAACCCUGAUCCAGCCAUGCCGCGUGAGUGAUGAAGGCCCUAGGGUUGUAAAACUCUUUCGGCGGGGACGAUAAUGACGGUACCCGCAGAAGAAGCUCCGGCUAACUUCGUGCCAGCAGCCGCGGUAAUACGAAGGGGGCUAGCGUUGUUCGGAAUUACUGGGCGUAAAGCGCGCGCAGGCGGUUCUUCAAGUCAGAGGUGAAAGCCCAGAGCUCAACUCUGGAAUGGCCUUUGAGACUAGAGGACUAGGGUACGGGAGAGGUGAGUGGAAUUCCGAGUGUAGAGGUGAAAUUCGUAGAUAUUCGGAAGAACACCAGUGGCGAAGGCGGCUCACUGGCCCGUUACCGACGCUCAGGCGCGACAGCGU
This 535-nucleotide ribosomal RNA is filed under the name uncultured bacterium. RNAcentral describes it as "bacterial SSU rRNA". It matches the Rfam family "Bacterial small subunit ribosomal RNA", at positions 210 to 762 of the family's 1533-position model. The record is from RNAcentral.